This is a long non-coding RNA of Helianthus annuus (common sunflower), 2287 nucleotides long. RefSeq lists it as uncharacterized. NCBI's taxonomy places the organism in Eukaryota, Viridiplantae, Streptophyta, Magnoliopsida, Asterales, Asteraceae. The transcript has 3 exons. The record is from RefSeq and is a predicted model, not a curated record.
GUGCGAUUAACAGAGAUGACUACAAGUAAUCUAUACCAUUUUUAGUUACCCAUAAGAUACACCAAAAAAUUCCAAUUCCUCACUCAUCCCUCCAUCACCUACAUCCUUUUCACUCUGUCUACCCAUCCCUCCGCUCCAGUGCCUUUGCCUGCAACCAGGUAACUCUGCCCCACGCACUAGUCCAAAUUCUAAAAUUAAGAACCCUAGGUUUAUGGAGGAAGACGAUGUAGUAGUUUUAUAUUUCUCUGCGACCAGGGAUGAAUCUGAAGACGAAGAUGAUGGAUCACCAGUCGUGUGUCAGUAAAAAUUGUAGAAUGUGGAGCUUCAUUCUUUCAACAAUCAAGCUCUUUUCUUUGCUGAACUUGAAUGAACAGAUUUGGUUUCUAAAUUGGUUUGCAGGCACCCUUUUUCGUUCUCACCCGUAUAUGCCGAAAACGCCCUUGCAAGGCUUCCUUUUCACGUGCUGCAUUUCCUUCUAUGUCUCAGUUUUGUGCUUUGCAUAUUGCCUAUGGUCAUACCAUUUGUGACUCUUUGGGUAUGGCGUCUCUCAUAUGUUAGGAGUUAUAAUGAAGCCCAGGGACUGUUGUUGAGUCAUAUUGCCAUCGCUGAAAUUGUUACCAACCUCUUUAAAGGGAUCUUAUUUUCUGCAUAUAUAAUGUAUGAUUUUCUUUGGUCCACAUUCUUAAGGUACUCUUUUAGACAUGUUGCUGGGGUUGGUCAGAUGAUUAGAAGAUUUGUAGGAUAUGUUGUAGCUAGAUGGGAAUUGCAAGUUGCUCGUCUUGAGCAGAUGUUUAAUGGUUUGGAUGAUGGGGGGUGGUGCUUUCGAUGAGCUAGUUGGCAUUUAGGGCCGUGUUAUUCACUUGGUGGAAAAUACUUUCACUGUGAGUAAUUUAUUUUGUUGACCUCUAACUGUGCACGAAAUGAGGGUUGAAGGGACAUUUUGUAUCUUUUUUUAAGCCAUGUAUACAGUAUGCUAAUUUUGUACAUCUUUUUAUGUUCAGUUGUCUAAAUUCGCCUUAGCUUUCGUUUCUGUUCCUUUUAUCUUUCUAGCUAUUAAAAAUUAAGUAAAUUGUUUUCUAUCAUUCUGAAGUACUGUGUUGAUUCUCUCUGUAGUUUCGUUUUUUUUCCUUUCUAUCUGGUGUUUAUACAGUUUUAGAACUAUAAUUUUUUUUCCUUUCUAUCUGGUGUUUAUACAGUUGUAUUUAUUAUCUGGUAAUGACAUUUCCUUUCUUUCACCAUAUGUCUCUGUAUACCAAAUCUAACAGCAUCUAUAAAUCAUCACCAAGCAUUUAUAGACAUGCACCAUGUUAUCCCCCAGUUGAGUUGAAAUGGAUAUUUUUUUAAUGUGAGUUGAAAUGGUGUCGAAAUUGGUGGGCUAGGAAUAGGGUAACGAGUUGAAAUGGAUACUAUUUUAGCGUGAGUUGAAAUGGGUCUCUGUUAGUUAAUGCGUUAAACAUAAUCACAAAGAAUGCCAUACAAUAAUAAUCUAUUGUGACCCUUUAGGUGAUUUUUGAUUUGGACGUGAACCCUUUGACCUGUUCUUUUUUAGUUGACCUUACUGAUUUUACUCUUUUGACCGAAUUAGAGAUAAUGGGCUGAAAUUGCUAUUUCUAGCCAACACUUGCUCUGAAGAACUUCAUUGUUAUAUUGGUUUUCAAAAUUUAUCACCUUUUGUAGUCUAUGGUCCCAUCUUUACUUCUUUUAGGAUCCACAUGUAUAUAUAUAUGCCAAAGUGGAAGCUUAAUAGAUUUUAGUUCAGAUGGCUUAAAGUUAUAAUUGUUCUAGUUUCUUACAUAGUGUGUUCAUAAUGAUAAGCAACAAAUUGGUUGAAUUUGGUAGGAAGUUGCAUUGUUAACUGGUGGUUCACAUGGAUAUGUUGUUGGGCACAUUUGCCUGAAGCACAGGUGAUAUGAUCUUGCAAUCGAAUCAAGUGUAACUUCAGUACCCGGUGAAGAGUUUUUGGGACAACGUUCAAGCGCGAUGAGCGUUCAGCAGAACUAAGAGAAAAGCAAUCUUUAGUAUAAUUUUUUUUUUCUAAUUUUGAGUGAAGUUUGUAGAUAGUUGAGGCUGUUUGUUGCAAGGUGGCUCAUCUCCAAAAAGAACUGUAUACUCGCUUUAUUUUGCGGUCUAAAACCUAAACAUCCGAACAGACAUAGUUUUGGGUUAGAUGUCACCACUUACUUUAUGUUGGACUUUGUUUAUACACACCCAAUUACUAACCUUUGGGUCUUAGGUUUUUUGUUUUCAUUGUAUUUAAAGAAAUAUAUAUAUAAUCAUUUUUGUAUCU